GACGAACGCUGGCGGCGUGCUUAACACAUGCAAGUCGAACGGAAAGGCCAUGCUCUUGCGGGGUGCUCGAGUGGCGAACGGGUGGGUAACACGUGAGUAACCUGCCCUUGUCUUUGGGAUAACUUCUGGAAACUGGGGCUAAUAUCGCAUAGGAGCUCCUGCUGCAUGGUGGGGGUUGGAAAGUUUCGGCGGUUGGGGAUGGACUCGCGGCUUAUCAGCUUGUUGGUGGGGUAGUGGCUUACAAAGGCUUUGACGGGUAGCCGGCCUGAGAGGGUGACCGGCCACAUUGUGACUGAGAUACGGCCCAGACUCCUACGGGAGGCAGCAGUGGGGAAUAUUGCACAGUGGGCGGAAGCCUGAUGCAGCAACGCCGCGUGCGGGAUGACGGCCUUCGAGUUGUAAACCGCUUUCGCCUGUGACGAAGCGUGAGUGACGGUAAUGGGUAAAGAAGCACCGGCUAACUACGUG
This 468-nucleotide ribosomal RNA is filed under the name uncultured bacterium. Its description in RNAcentral is "partial 16S ribosomal RNA". It matches the Rfam family "Bacterial small subunit ribosomal RNA", at positions 28 to 507 of the family's 1533-position model. The record is from RNAcentral.